This 495-nucleotide ribosomal RNA is filed under the name uncultured bacterium. RNAcentral's name for it is "partial 16S ribosomal RNA". It matches the Rfam family "Bacterial small subunit ribosomal RNA", at positions 30 to 507 of the family's 1533-position model. The record is from RNAcentral.
UGACCGCUGGCGGCGUGCCUAAUACAUGCACGUCGAGCGAACAGACGAGGAGCUUGCUCCUUUGACGUUAGCGGCGGACGGGUGAGUAACACGUGGGUAACCUACCUAUAAGACUGGGAUAACUUCGGGAAACCGGAGCUAAUACCGGAUAAUAUUUCGAACCGCAUGGUUCGAUAGUGAAAGAUGGCUUUGCUAUCACUUAUAGAUGGACCUGCGCCGUAUUAGCUAGUUGGUAAGGUAACGGCUUACCAAGGCAACGAUACGUAGCCGACCUGAGAGGGUGAUCGGCCACACUGGAACUGAGACACGGUCCAGACUCCUACGGGAGGCAGCAGUAGGGAAUCUUCCGCAAAGGGCGAAAGCCUGACGGAGCAACGCCGCGUGAGUGAUGAAGGUCUUCGGAUCGUAAAACUCUGUUAUUAGGGAAGAACAAACGUGUAAGUAACUGUGCACGUCUUGACGGUACCUAAUCAGAAAGCCACGGCUAACUACGUG